Molecule: ribosomal RNA, 76 nt
Filed under: Mycolicibacterium madagascariense
Lineage: Bacteria; Bacillati; Actinomycetota; Actinomycetes; Mycobacteriales; Mycobacteriaceae
Source: RNAcentral
GGCGGCAACAGCGGCAGGGAAACGCCCGGACCCAUCCCGAACCCGGAAGCUAAGCCUACCAGCGCCAAUGAUACUA